RNAcentral lists this microRNA precursor (103 nucleotides) under Marmota monax (woodchuck). Lineage: Eukaryota; Metazoa; Chordata; Mammalia; Rodentia; Sciuridae. The record is from RNAcentral.
AGUGGAAUUGCUGGGGCAUAUAGUCAGUUUAUGUUUAACUUUUUAAUGAACCUGCCAAACUCUUUCCCAAACUGGCCGUGUCAUAUUGCAAUCCCAUCAGCAU